GCGGCGUGCCUAAUACAUGCAAGUCGAGCGGACAGAUGGGAGCUUGCUCCCUGAUGUUAGCGGCGGACGGGUGAGUAACACGUGGGUAACCUGCCUGUAAGACUGGGAUAACUCCGGGAAACCGGGGCUAAUACCGGAUGGUUGUUUGAACCGCAUGGUUCAAACAUAAAAGGUGGCUUCGGCUACCACUUACAGAUGGACCCGCGGCGCAUUAGCUAGUUGGUGAGGUAACGGCUCACCAAGGCAACGAUGCGUAGCCGACCUGAGAGGGUGAUCGGCCACACUGGGACUGAGACACGGCCCAGACUCCUACGGGAGGCAGCAGUAGGGAAUCUUCCGCAAUGGACGAAAGUCUGACGGAGCAACGCCGCGUGAGUGAUGAAGGUUUUCGGAUCGUAAAGCUCUGUUGUUAGGGAAGAACAAGUACCGUUCGAAUAGGGCGGUACCUUGACGGUACCUAACCAGAAAGCCACGGCUAACUACGUGCCAGCAGCCGCGGUAAUACGUAGGUGGCAAGCGUUGUCCGGAAUUAUUGGGCGUAAAGGGCUCGCAGGCGGUUUCUUAAGUCUGAUGUGAAAGCCCCCGGCUCAACCGGGGAGGGUCAUUGGAAACUGGGGAACUUGAGUGCAGAAGAGGAGAGUGGAAUUCCACGUGUAGCGGUGAAAUGCGUAGAGAUGUGGAGGAACACCAGUGGCGAAGGCGACUCUCUGGUCUGUAACUGACGCUGAGGAGCGAAAGCGUGGGGAGCGAACAGGAUUAGAUACCCUGGUAGUCCACGCCGUAAACGAUGAGUGCUAAGUGUUAGGGGGUUUCCGCCCCUUAGUGCUGCAGCUAACGCA
This 839-nucleotide ribosomal RNA is filed under the name Bacillus sp. (in: firmicutes). RNAcentral describes it as "bacterial SSU rRNA". It matches the Rfam family "Bacterial small subunit ribosomal RNA", at positions 39 to 859 of the family's 1533-position model. The record is from RNAcentral. Lineage: Bacteria; Bacillati; Bacillota; Bacilli; Caryophanales; Bacillaceae.